GCUAUGUCUGUGUAGCAAUUAACUAUCCCCAGUGAUGGCACUCUUAAGCUUAGUCCUGCUCUGGGAAGACUGCCUUCAAAAGGGAAGUAAUGUAGCCACAGCUGCAUGGGCUGGCUAAUUAGCUUGAGGGAGAGCUAAGUGGCUCUUACACUUAGCAGUGCUAGUUAACCUGCCGCAAGUGUUGUUUUAGCAUUAUGAGAUGGGUCACCUGGAGCAGCAUGAUGUGCUUGGGGGCACAUGGGUAUAGCCUCAGUGCAACAUAGCCUCAGGGCAAGAAUGAUCUUUUCUUUGCAUUCAUGAUACAUUCUAAGCUAUUCCUGUCUUUUCAAGGUGCAACACUAAAAACUAACUUCCCAUUAAACAAAAGGAACCAUGACAAAAAAAAGUCCAGGGGCAGGACACUGCUUGCCAGACCUGAUGUCCAGGAUAUGCCACCUCCUGGGUGAUCUUUAGAAAACUUUCAUGGACAGAACUUGCCAAGGGUGGCAAACAGCCCUGUAAUGAAUGAAGAGAGUGAAGAGGAAAGUGAAAUAUGUUCAGAUUUGCUUUAAUUUUUUUUUUUUACAUUUUGUAUAUACUGUAUAUUAUUAAAUUGCAGCAUUUUCAAUAAAGUGUUUUAUUUUUGCUCUU
This is a long non-coding RNA of Alligator mississippiensis (American alligator), 630 nucleotides long. RefSeq lists it as uncharacterized. Lineage: Eukaryota; Metazoa; Chordata; Crocodylia; Alligatoridae. The transcript has 3 exons. The record is from RefSeq and is a predicted model, not a curated record.